This 229-nucleotide ribosomal RNA is filed under the name uncultured bacterium. RNAcentral's name for it is "partial 16S ribosomal RNA". It matches the Rfam family "Bacterial small subunit ribosomal RNA", at positions 30 to 258 of the family's 1533-position model. The record is from RNAcentral.
AUUGAACGCUGGCGGCGUGCUUAACACAUGCAAGUCGAGCGGUAAGGCCCUUUCGGGGGUACACGAGCGGCGAACGGGUGAGUAACACGUGGGUGACCUGCCCUCAGCUCUGGGAUAAGCCUGGGAAACCGGGUCUAAUACUGGAUAUGACUCCAUGACGCAUGUUGUGGGGUGGAAAGCCUUGUGCGGCUGAGGAUGGGCCCNCGGCCUAUCAGCUUGUUGGUGGGGA